GGGCGCUCUGGCUGGUGCCUAUGAAGGACCUGUCAGGCUGCGGUUUCCAGGGUGACGACCAAGCAACCCACGCAACGCCCACAAGUUUGCAGGCAUUAGUAGGAACUGGCGUUUUGGUUGUGAAGGUACUCAACGUGUAGCUGUCUCUCGCCAGAUUUGGAAUUUGUGAGAACAACUUCUGAACCUGGACUCAGCUGGAGCAGGACUCCAGCAGGACUCAUCUUCUGAACCCAGAUGCAAAGAGUGAAUAUCUCCCAAGGACGUACAUGACCACAACUGAGAGGUUUUUCCUUUGUUUUUCUUCAUUAAUCACCCACCAGCUCAGCCUUCAGAUGGUCAGUAAAUCAGCAUUACCUCUGAUCCAAUGGGGAAUUUUCCAAAGCAGAAUUGAACUGCAGCAACUCUCACCUCUGGAGCCAGUCUCAGCUGAGCCAUAGCCCUUCCUACAGCACAGUGGCACUUGUCACAACCUGAGUCAGGGUCCUUCUCCAAAUUGUUGAUAUUUGUACAUAGCAGACAAUUUAGCAGACUAUGAAAUCAACCCAGCAGUGGUAGGUUGACAUAUAUUAAGAGCUUCACUAGUAUAUAUUCUAUCCAUCCCUGAAAUUAGAUCACAGGUUAUAAGUAACAGAGCCAGAAUUUCCUUCAGUCACUAGCUUUGAAUACAUAAGAUCAAAAUCAUAUUCCACAAAGAUAUUUCUUCCAUGAAUUCAUAUUGCUAAAGAUGUGAACUUAGAAAAAUUUAGAAAUCUCCACUUCAACCAAUCAAUUCAAGAACAUUUGUAGGGUAUUGUUCUGGGUACUACAACAUUUAUAGGGUAUUGUGCUGGGUACUAAGAGACAAACAAUGCACAAUACAAGUCCCUGCUCUCAAAUAGCUUAAAGUGAAUGUAUACACACAAAUGACUACAAUACAUAGCUAAGUGUGCAUGGGAUAGUGUAGAAACACUGGGGAAGUCUGCCUAUAAAAAGUGGCAUCUGAGCUAAUCUUGAUGAAUAAGUUAGCUAUCAAAGGAAGAAAGGGACUAGCUUAUACAAACGUAUAGAAGCUGAGGCUCCUAGGGAAAGUCAACAACACAACAUAUAUUCUGGAAUAGUGUAGGAUGAUACAGUGAAACAAAGCUGGAAACUGAGGCUGUAAAGAACCAGCCUUUCAAGGUUUAUUGACCACCUACUGUUCCCAACAUUGCUAGGUAAUCUGAUGGAAUGGUUCUCAAAUUUUUGUAUUUGUAUCAUCUAACAAUCACUACUCUCUCAAAAGAUUUAAAUUUUCUUCUUAAUAGUAAUCAAAUUCUAACUUUUAUGAAGACAUUAAUGAGUUCACAGGUAGUGUAUUUGUCAUUUAUGAUUAGUUUAAAGGGCAUUAAAUAUGCAACAUAAUGUG
This 1384-nucleotide long non-coding RNA is filed under the name Equus asinus (donkey). RNAcentral's name for it is "lncRNA (ENSEASG00005037546.1)". The record is from RNAcentral. Lineage: Eukaryota; Metazoa; Chordata; Mammalia; Perissodactyla; Equidae.